UACGGGGGGGGGCAAGCGUUGUUCGGAAUUACUGGGCGUAAAGGGCUCGUAGGCGGCCAACUAAGUCAGACGUGAAAUCCCUCGGCUUAACCGGGGAACUGCAUCUGAUACUGGAUGGCUUGAGUUCGGGAGAGGGAUGCGGAAUUCCAGGUGUAGCGGUGAAAUGCGUAGAUAUCUGGAGGAAUACCGGUGGCGAAGGCGGCAUCCUGGACCGACAUUGACGCUGAUGAGCGAAAGCUAGGGGAGCAAACGGG
RNAcentral lists this ribosomal RNA (254 nucleotides) under uncultured bacterium. RNAcentral's name for it is "partial 16S ribosomal RNA". It matches the Rfam family "Bacterial small subunit ribosomal RNA", at positions 524 to 776 of the family's 1533-position model. The record is from RNAcentral.